This is a non-coding RNA of Pelobates cultripes (western spadefoot toad), 307 nucleotides long. Lineage: Eukaryota; Metazoa; Chordata; Amphibia; Anura; Pelobatidae. The record is from the annotation of a GenBank genome assembly.
CUACACUUACCCUAAGUCCUGUAGUGCCGAAUUUCGGAAGUCCCGAAGUUUGUAAGUGCCAAACCGAACCGAAGUACUUAAUAGCCGAUGUCUUGAAUUGCCGAAGUCCCAAAUUUCGGAAGUGUUGAACCGUACCGCCGAAGUCCCUUAUUGCCAAAUUUCGAAAUGCCGAACCAAAUUUCUUGCCCAUGCACAUCCCUAGUGAAUGGAGACCCAAUGCUGGGGGUCUGUGUAUAUAAGAUGGCCACUGGGCCAUAAUAAAUGAUUCCUUCUUGUACCCUUCAUCACGUCUUGCCUGAUGUUUAAG